GGGAAUAUUGCACAAUGGGGGAAACCCUGAUGCAGCAACGCCGCGUGGAGGAUGACGCAUUUCGGUGUGUAAACUCCUUUUAUUAGGGAAGAAAUUUGACGGUACCUAAUGAAUAAGCACCGGCUAACUCCGUGCCAGCAGCCGCGGUAAUACGGAGGGUGCAAGCGUUACUCGGAAUCACUGGGCGUAAAGGACGCGUAGGCGGUUUGAUAAGUUGGAUGUGAAAUCCCAUGGCUUAACCAUGGAACUGCAUCCAAAACUGUCAGACUAGAAUGAGGGAGAGGUCAGUGGAAUUAGUGGUGUAGGGGUAAAAUCCGUAGAGAUCACUAGGAAUACUCAUUGCGAAGGCGACUGACUGGAACUUUAUUGACGCUGAGGCGUGAAAGCGUGGGGAGCAAACA
RNAcentral lists this ribosomal RNA (401 nucleotides) under uncultured Campylobacterota bacterium. RNAcentral's name for it is "bacterial SSU rRNA". It matches the Rfam family "Bacterial small subunit ribosomal RNA", at positions 357 to 774 of the family's 1533-position model. The record is from RNAcentral. Lineage: Bacteria; Pseudomonadati; Campylobacterota.